RNAcentral lists this ribosomal RNA (254 nucleotides) under uncultured bacterium. RNAcentral's name for it is "partial 16S ribosomal RNA". It matches the Rfam family "Bacterial small subunit ribosomal RNA", at positions 524 to 776 of the family's 1533-position model. The record is from RNAcentral.
UACAGAGGGUGCGAGCGUUGUCCGGAAUCACUGGGCGUAAAGGGCGCGUAGGUGGCCCGACAAGUCUGUGGUGAAAGCUCGACGCUCAACGUCGAGUCGGCCAUGGAUACUGUUGGGCUGGAGCACUGUAGAGGCUCAUGGAAUUCCGGGUGUAGCGGUGGAAUGCGUAGAGAUCCGGAAGAACACCGGUGGCGAAGGCGGUGAGCUGGGCAGUAGCUGACACUGAGGCGCGGACAGCGUGGGGAGCAAACAGG